AGAGUUUGAUCCUGGCUCAGAGCGAACGCUGGCGGCAGGCUUAACACAUGCAAGUCGAGCGCCCCGCAAGGGGAGCGGCAGACGGGAGAGUAACACGUGGGAACGUACCCUUCAGUUCGGAACAACCCAGGGAAACUUGGGCUAAUACCGAAUACGUCCGUAAGGAGAAAGAUUUAUCGCUGAAGGAUCGGCCCGCGCCUGAUUAGCUAGUUGGUGGGGUAACGGCCCACCAAGGCUACGAUCAGUAGCUGGUCUGAGAGGAUGAUCAGCCUCACUGGGACUGAGACACGGCCCAGACUCCUACGGGAGGCAGCAGUGGGGAAUAUUGGACAAUGGGCGCAAGCCUGAUCCAGCCAUGCCGCGUGGGUGAUGAAGGCCCUAGGGUUGUAAAGCCCUUUCGGCGGGGAAGAUAAUGACG
Molecule: ribosomal RNA, 418 nt
Filed under: uncultured soil bacterium
Lineage: Bacteria
Description: bacterial SSU rRNA
Rfam family: Bacterial small subunit ribosomal RNA
Source: RNAcentral